This 827-nucleotide long non-coding RNA is filed under the name Theobroma cacao (cacao). RNAcentral's name for it is "long non-coding RNA (TCAC_LNC003098)". Lineage: Eukaryota; Viridiplantae; Streptophyta; Magnoliopsida; Malvales; Malvaceae. The record is from RNAcentral.
UUGUGAGAAAUCAUCGCCAAACCUCGUUUUUAAAGAAUUUUAAGCUUUUUCCCUUUCAAAAUCAUGGAAAAAUAAUUUUCGCCUCACAAGGGCAUUUUCAUCAUUUUUCCUCAAAAUUUUUCGAACCCGACUAAAAUUGUAGUAGAUGAGUGGAAAACACAUAUUUCAUGAUUUAAAAUAAAUUUGAGUGUCUAAAACAUUUAUUAAAAAUGAUAUUGCAACUAUUUGAAUAAAAUAAAAAUAUUCAAUAAAAUAUUCUAAUUUAUUGUAAAACAAUAUUUAUAGAGUCAUCGGUAAUUAAUUUUUUUUGUAAUGUAAAAACUAAAUAAAUUCAUACGUACUACAAUACAGAUAACCGGGAUAUGAAAUUUACUUUACAGUGACUCGUGGGCCCACAAGGAACAAAAGUGCAUAAAGGCAAUAAACCUACAGUUUUUGGAGUAGUAAAGCGGACUAUAGCCUUCGACGAUAUCAGCUAUCUACACACUAUCCUGAGCCUGAAAUGGGUGGAAAUGAGGGUGGUGAGAUUAUAUAAUCCCAGUGAGUAAACAAAUAUCAUCUAAAAUAUCUAAAGUCGAGUAAAUGGAGGCAAUUAAAAUAAAUCAUCAUACUGUAAUUUCAUUACCUUUCAACUUAUUUCAACCAAAUAAACAACUAGGCUUAUGAUUUCCUGAAAAGCUUGGCUCGUGCAAAAAAUCAUUCUCAUACUCAGUUAUCAGGGAUGCCUUGAUCGAGGGCUAUCCCAAUUGAGUUCGCCAAGGCUGUUAAAAAGUCAUUUACGCAUAAAUUAUGUUUUUAUUUUGAAAACAUAGGCGUUCCUUGGCGUU